UGGGGUAUGUUCAGUCUUUUUUGGUAGCCAAUUAGUCACAAACACUGGUCAAAAUUUGUUAAAAUCAGUUUUUUGUAUUUUUCACACAAAUACGAAUUAGAAUGCUAACUUUGGCCAGUGUUUGUGAGCAAGUGGAUACUAAAAAAGACUGAACAUACCCCAUUUGUAAUACCUUAGGUUGUCUACUUUUGAGAAUUGUAUGCCAUCAUGGGGGUAAUUUUCAUUCCUGGGCUACCAUACGGUCUCAAAGGCAACAUAACCAGUCUGGCAAAUUUCAAUGUGUAUAGACUAAAAAUUGUAUUGUGCUAAAUGUGAC
Non-coding RNA from Pelobates cultripes (western spadefoot toad), 316 nucleotides. Lineage: Eukaryota; Metazoa; Chordata; Amphibia; Anura; Pelobatidae. The record is from the annotation of a GenBank genome assembly.